Molecule: ribosomal RNA, 719 nt
Filed under: Symbiodinium pilosum
Lineage: Eukaryota; Dinophyceae; Suessiales; Symbiodiniaceae
Description: partial large subunit ribosomal RNA
Rfam family: Eukaryotic large subunit ribosomal RNA
Source: RNAcentral
GCUUGGGUUGGAAACCGGGGCUUCUGCCUUGGAUUGUGGCCUUUAGACAUACUACCAACGGCGGCGCGAGCGUAAGCCUCUUGGAACAGAGCGUCUACCUAGGUGAGAAUCCUGUGUUUCGCUUGAUGCCCGCCGUGCACGGUACUUGCUCUCAGAGUCACGCUCCUCGGAAUUGGAGCGUAAAUUGGGUGGUAAAUUUCAUCUAAAGCUAAAUACAGGCUCGAGACCGAUAGCAAACAAGUACCAUGAGGGAAAGAUGAAAAGGACUUUGAAAAGAGAGUUAAAAGUGCUUGAAAUCGCUGAACUGGAAGCGAAUGGAACUAGUGCUCUGGUUGAGAUUGCUGCAGGUGGCUGCAAAAUCUGGGCUCUGGAAUGCAAAUCCUUGGUCUAGUUUGGAGUAGUUGCUUGCAAUGUGUCUCAGCUUGAACAUCAACUUUCAUGCAUGCGUGAGGAUGGCCCUUGGCUCAUGCUGUCUUACUGCGGUGAAAUUCUUGUGCCUUUUGGGAUUCAGGCGUGUGUGGACUGUUGAUCAAUUAGUUCCAUUCGACCCGUCUUGAAACACGGACCAAGGAGUCUAGCACUUGUGCAAGUCCUCAGGUGUCAAACCUCUGUGCGCAAUGAAGGUGACUGCUGGGAUUUUUGCACCAGCAACCGACCAAUCAAUUGGGAGAAGUUUGAGUAAGAGCAUGUGUGUUAGGACCCGAAAGAUGGUGAACUAU